GAUGAAAGAACGUAGCGAAAUGCGAUAAGUAAUGUGAAUUGCAGAAUUCAGUGAAUCAUCGAAUCUUUGAACGCACCUUGCGCUCCUUGGUAUUCCGAGGAGCAUGCCUGUUUGAGUGUCAUGAAAUUCUCAACCUUUCUGGCUUUUGCUAGUCAGGCUUGGAUUAUGGGAGCUGCUGGCUUUUGAAGUCGGCUCUUCUAAAAUGUAUUAGCAAGAUCAUUGCUGCUCAUCAUUGGUAUGAUAAUUAUCUAUAUCAUUGAGAGUCAGUUUCCUUUAUUGGAAGAUUUUGCUCCUAACGGUCUUUAGCAAGACAACAUUUGACGAUUUUGACCUCAAAUCAGGUAGGACUACCCGCUGAACUUAAGCAUAUCAAUAAGCGGAGGA
This 384-nucleotide unclassified non-coding RNA is filed under the name soil metagenome. RNAcentral describes it as "partial contains 5.8S ribosomal RNA, internal transcribed spacer 2, and large subunit ribosomal RNA". The stretch from base 6 to 121 matches the Rfam family "5.8S ribosomal RNA", at positions 39 to 154 of the family's 154-position model. The record is from RNAcentral.